Molecule: ribosomal RNA, 433 nt
Filed under: uncultured bacterium
Lineage: Bacteria
Description: partial 16S ribosomal RNA
Rfam family: Bacterial small subunit ribosomal RNA
Source: RNAcentral
AACGAACGCUGGCGGCAUGCCUAACACAUGCAAGUCGAACGAGACCUUCGGGUCUAGUGGCGCACGGGUGCGUAACGCGUGGGAACCUGCACUUAGGUUCGGAAUAACUCCCCGAAAGGGGUGCUAAUACCGGAUAAUGUCUUCGGACCAAAGAUUUAUCGCCUUUGGAUGGGCCCGCGUUGGAUUAGCUAGUUGGUAGGGUAAAAGCCUACCAAGGCGACGAUCCAUAGCUGGUUUGUGAGGAUGAUCAGCCACACUGGGACUGAGACGCGGCCCAGACUCCUACGGGAGGCAGCAGUGGGGAAUAUUGGGCAAUGGGCGAAAGCCUGAUCCAGCAAUGCCGCGUGAGUGAUGAAGGCCUUAGGGUUGUAAAGCUCUUUUACCCGGGAUGAUAAUGACAGUACCGGGAGAAUAAGCUCCGGCUAACUCCGUG